Molecule: ribosomal RNA, 465 nt
Filed under: uncultured bacterium
Lineage: Bacteria
Description: bacterial SSU rRNA
Rfam family: Bacterial small subunit ribosomal RNA
Source: RNAcentral
CCUACNGGUUGCAGCAGUAGGGAAUCUUCGGCAAUGGACGAAAGUCUGACCGAGCAACGCCGCGUGAGUGAAGAAGGUUUUCGGACCGUAAAACUCUGUUGUUAGAGANGNACAAGUAGGANAGUNACUGNUCUUACCUUGACGGUAUCUAACCAGAAAGCCACGGCUAACUACGUGCCAGCAGCCGCGGUAAUACGUAGGUGGCAAGCGUUGUCCGGAUUUAUUGGGCGUAAAGCGAGCGCAGGCGGUCUUUUAAGUCUGAUGUGAAAGCCCUCGGCUCAACCGAGGAAGGUCAUUGGAAACUGGAGGACUUGAGUGCAGAAGAGGAGAGUGGAAUUCCAUGUGUAGCGGUGAAAUGCGUAGAUAUAUGGAGGAACACCAGUGGCGAAGGCGACUCUCUGGUUUGUAACUGACGCUGAGGCUCGAAAGCGUGGGGAGCAAACAGGAUUAGAUACCCGUGUAGUC